AGAGACAGCAGUCGCCGCGGUAAUACGUAGGUGGCGAGCGUUGUCCGGAAUCAUUGGGCGUAAAGGGAGCGCAGGCGGGCAUGUAAGUCUUUCUUAAAAGUUCGGGGCUCAACCCCGUGAUGGGAAAGAAACUACAUGUCUUGAGUACAGGAGAGGAAAGCGGAAUUCCCAGUGUAGCGGUGAAAUGCGUAGAUAUUGGGAGGAACACCAGUGGCGAAGGCGGCUUUCUGGACUGCAACUGACGCUGAGGCUCGAAAGCCAGGGGAGCGAACGGGAUUAGAUACCCGAGUAGUCCCUGUCUCUUAUACA
RNAcentral lists this ribosomal RNA (309 nucleotides) under uncultured bacterium. Its description in RNAcentral is "partial 16S ribosomal RNA". It matches the Rfam family "Bacterial small subunit ribosomal RNA", at positions 504 to 809 of the family's 1533-position model. The record is from RNAcentral.